AGAGUUUGAUCCUGGCUCAGAUUGAACGCUGGCGGCAGGCCUAACACAUGCAAGUCGAGCGGAUGAGAGGAGCUUGCUCCUGGAUUCAGCGGCGGACGGGUGAGUAAUGCCUAGGAAUCUGCCUGGUAGUGGGGGACAACGUUUCGAAAGGAACGCUAAUACCGCAUACGUCCUACGGGAGAAAGCAGGGGACCUUCGGGCCUUGCGCUAUCAGAUGAGCCUAGGUCGGAUUAGCUAGUUGGUGAGGUAAUGGCUCACCAAGGCGACGAUCCGUAACUGGUCUGAGAGGAUGAUCAGUCACACUGGAACUGAGACACGGUCCAGACUCCUACGGGAGGCAGCAGUGGGGAAUAUUGGACAAUGGGCGAAAGCCUGAUCCAGCCAUGCCGCGUGUGUGAAGAAGGUCUUCGGAUUGUAAAGCACUUUAAGUUGGGAGGAAGGGCAGUAACUUAAUACGUUGCUGUUUUGACGUUACCGACAGAAUAAGCACCGGCUAACUCUGUGCCAGCAGCCGCGGUAAUAC
This 523-nucleotide ribosomal RNA is filed under the name Pseudomonas helmanticensis. Its description in RNAcentral is "bacterial SSU rRNA". It matches the Rfam family "Bacterial small subunit ribosomal RNA", at positions 8 to 526 of the family's 1533-position model. Lineage: Bacteria; Pseudomonadati; Pseudomonadota; Gammaproteobacteria; Pseudomonadales; Pseudomonadaceae. The record is from RNAcentral.